CACGUAGGGCGCGAGCGUUGUCCGGAAUUAUUGGGCGUAAAGAGCUCGUAGGCGGCCUGUUGCGUCCGCUGUGAAAGCCCGGGGCUUAACCCCGGGUCUGCAGUGGAUACGGGCAGGCUAGAGGUAGGUAGGGGAGAAUGGAAUUCCCGGUGUAGCGGUGAAAUGCGCAGAUAUCGGGAAGAACACCCGUGGCGAAGGCGGCUCUCUGGGACGGUACUGACGCUG
Molecule: ribosomal RNA, 225 nt
Filed under: uncultured prokaryote
Description: partial 16S ribosomal RNA
Rfam family: Bacterial small subunit ribosomal RNA
Source: RNAcentral